UAGGGAAUCUUCGGCAAUGGGGGGAACCCUGACCGAGCAACGCCGCGUGAGUGAAGAAGGUUUUCGGAUCGUAAAGCUCUGUUGUUAAGGAAGAACGAGUGUGAGAAUGGAAAGUUCAUGCUGUGACGGUACUUAACCAGAAAGGAACGGCUAACUACGUGCCAGCAGCCGCGGUAAUACGUAGGUCCCGAGCGUUGUCCGGAUUUAUUGGGCGUAAAGCGAGCGCAGGCGGUUAGAAAAGUCUGAAGUGAAAGGCAGUGGCUCAACCAUUGUAGGCUUUGGAAACUGUUUAACUUGAGUGCAGAAGGGGAGAGUGGAAUUCCAUGUGUAGCGGUGAAAUGCGUAGAUAUAUGGAGGAACACCGGUGGCGAAAGCGGCUCUCUGGUCUGUAACUGACGCUGAGGCUCGAAAGCGUGGGUAGCAAACAGG
Molecule: ribosomal RNA, 429 nt
Filed under: Bacteroidota bacterium
Lineage: Bacteria; Pseudomonadati; Bacteroidota
Description: Bacteroidetes bacterium partial 16S ribosomal RNA
Rfam family: Bacterial small subunit ribosomal RNA
Source: RNAcentral